RNAcentral lists this small nuclear RNA (23 nucleotides) under Arabidopsis thaliana (thale cress). RNAcentral's name for it is "snRNA_19242". The record is from RNAcentral. Lineage: Eukaryota; Viridiplantae; Streptophyta; Magnoliopsida; Brassicales; Brassicaceae.
AUUUUUCUAAAUUCUUUUCUCUU